Microcebus murinus (gray mouse lemur) is the source of this 2110-nucleotide non-coding RNA. The record is from RefSeq and is a predicted model, not a curated record. Lineage: Eukaryota; Metazoa; Chordata; Mammalia; Primates; Cheirogaleidae.
GGUCCCACUCCACCCUCCACACCUACCCCUUUCCUAUUCCUUCCCCCUUCCUCUCCCCAGCAACCUCUCUCCUGCCUUCCCAUCUGCCCUCAGGUCCCUGAAAAGGACGUGGCUGGGGCGCUGUGGUGCUGGGGUACACCAGCCCGGGUCCUGGCAGGGCCCUGAGCACAGGCAUCUUGCCACUGUGUACCCAGGCAGAGGUCUGGCGUGCACAGGCGCCUGGCCCAGGGCUGGGCGGAAGUCACUAGGUGUCCCAAGGGUAUCCCUGCCCGGGUCAUGGGGCCCAGCCCAGUGCCAAACACGGAGCCCUGGAGACUGAAGGACAGGAAAUGAGGAGGAGGAGGAGGAGGAGUCGGGGGGAAGGGAGGAAGGGCAGGAAUGCUACCCAGCCAGCCCCCUCUGUCGGAACAAACAGUGCCUGAGUGCUAAUGACUUGUUAUUGUUCAUGUCAAAAUGCACAGGUGGCCCCAGUCCCUGCCCCAACUCCCUUUGGUGCCAUGACCCAGGCUCCGGCACCAGCUCCCUUCCUGGUAUUAUUCUGGUCUGGGAGGGCAGGUUAGCAGGGGAGGUGCCAGGUCAUGUGACCAGGCUGGUCAUUUCCUGUCGUCCCCCAGGGAACCAGCACAAGGCCAGAGACCAGGGCUCUGGCCUACCAGCACAGAGAAAGGGACCUUAAAGCAUCCCUCUCAUUUUGCCAAGGAAAGCAGAAGCCCAGAGAGAUGAGGCAGCCUAUCCAGAGUCACACAGCUACUCAGAAACGAGCGAUUCUCCUGCUACCAGUGCUGCCCCUGGAAGCAGGGAUUUGAAUCCCAUUCCACAGCUAGAGAAAAGGAAGCUCAGAGGUUACAUAACCUGCCCUAAGCGUUGGUAAACAGGGGCACCAGGACUCACACUGUGCCUGUCUGACCCCCUGGCUGUGCUAAUCUCAGCACUAUCCCCUGCUGUCCCCAUGUCCCCUGGACACAGAGGCAGUCGAGGCAUGCUGUCCUCAGAAAGUUCCAAGCGCAGGUAGGAACAGAAAGAACUCUCUUUAGACCUCUUUUCUGGGAGGUUGAUGGAUUUGCCCCUUGGCUUUCUAAGAAGUAGGUCUGGCCUGAACAACUCCCAAUGCUGUCCUGCUGGGACUUGGGCGCCACCUCCUUCACCCUGUGUGUGCAGACUCACCGCUGGCACUUGUGCCUGCAUGGAAGCCCUUCCUGAGCCAAAGGCGUCAUCAUCAUCAAGGCAUCAAGGCACAGCUUCACAGCUGUAGAGAGGACCUCCUCAUCUUGGCAAGCCUCAGUUUCCUCAACUCGGCCACAUAUUUUGGUGUCCUCCUGGCACUCCCCUAUGGCCUCCCCCCCCCCAUAUACACAUGGUGGACACGCACGACAGGCACAUGACUGAAUCUCAGGUGAAGUUAAUCUAUUAAGUCUGAGUGGUUGGGGUGGUUCUCUGCCGAUUUGGACCCUACAGCCAUUAUCCUGUCCCCCGUCCCCAACCCCACAGUUCUUUUCCCUGCCUGCUUUCUCCUUCAUUCUAUCACCUCCAGAGAUGUUUUCACUGGCAAAGGGAGCUUCAACAUCUCAGAUUCUCCAAACUUCUCAGAAUCUUCCCCUGAGCCCCCCAAAACGAGAUGCCAAGUAGUGUCCAUAUAACCACCUCACCCCAAGAAGAAAAUGCAGAAUUAGCACUCACUAAAGGAGAAUGUUGCCAUGGCAACAUACCAAGAACAGUAACCAAGCUUACCCCACCCCUUACUUGACCUGGCCCCCACACCUCCCACCCCCACCUGGAGAGAACACACAAGCACCUAAUCCAAUGCCUGGCACACAGAGGUGACAGAUAAAUGACAAAUUCUUUUCCUCUUACCCCUGUGCCCAAAUGGGGACACUUGGGCAUGACACAUGCAGACACACAUGUCACAGCUGUGUGAGCCGCCCACGCACACUGCAGCCAAGCUUCAUCUGACCCACUGUCCAUCCUAGCUGUGCCACUCUGCACCCCUAGCCCCCAGAGCAAGCUGGGCCACCAGCAGCAUGUCCGAACCACAAUCUAGGCCCCCCUCCAGCCCUUGUGCCUGGCUCUGGCCUAGGCAGGUGAAGGGCACUCACCCAGCGAAGCCCCUGGA